CCUACGGGUGGCAGCAGUGGGGAAUAUUGGGCAAUGGAGGAAACUCUGACCCAGCAACGCCGCGUGAAGGAUGAAGGUUUUCGGAUUGUAAACCUCUGUCGCGAGGGACGAAGAAUGACGGUACCUCGUAAGAAAGCCCCGGCUAACUACGGGCCAGUCGCCGCGGUAAUACGUAGGGGGCGAGCGUUGACCGGAAUGACUGGGCGUAAAGGGAGUGUAGGCGGGAAUAUAAGUUAGGUGGGAAAUCCCCCGGCUCAACCGCGGAACUGCAGCUAAAACUAUAUAGCUUGAGUGCAGGAGAGGUGAGUGGAAUGCGUGGUGUAGCGGUGAAAUGCGUAGAUAUUAGGAGGAACACCGGUGGCGAAGGCAGCUCACUGGAGUGUAACUGACGCUGAGGCUCGAAAGCGUGGGGAGCGAACAGGAUUAGAUACCCCGGUAGUC
This 441-nucleotide ribosomal RNA is filed under the name uncultured bacterium. RNAcentral's name for it is "partial 16S ribosomal RNA". It matches the Rfam family "Bacterial small subunit ribosomal RNA", at positions 338 to 795 of the family's 1533-position model. The record is from RNAcentral.